Molecule: ribosomal RNA, 529 nt
Filed under: uncultured bacterium
Lineage: Bacteria
Description: bacterial LSU rRNA
Rfam family: Bacterial large subunit ribosomal RNA
Source: RNAcentral
UGAAGGACGUAGAAGCCUGCGAUAAGCCCGGGAAGUCGGCAAUCAGACUGUGAUCCGGGGAUUUCCGAAUGGGGAAACCCAGCUGGAGUCAUGUCCAGUUACCAACCUGCUGAACACAUAGGCAGGCUGGAGGGAACGUGGGGAAGUGAAACAUCUCAGUACCACAGGAAGAGAAACAAAAGUGAUUCCGAGAGUAGUGGCGAGCGAAAUCGGAACAGGCCAAACUCAAUAAGUGUGAUAGCCGGCAGGCGUUGCUUAUUGAGGGUUGUGGGGCCGCUUAGUUGAUUCUGCCGAGUCAACACAGAGUAAGAAACCAUCGAUGAAGUCGAAGCGGACUGGAAAGUCCCGACAUAGAGGGUGAGAUCCCCGUACACGUAAGUCGAUGGCUCUGAAGCGUCACCCCAAGUAACACGGAACCCCUGAAAUUCCGUGUGAAUCUGGCGGGACCACCCGUUAAGCCUAAAUACUCCUUGAUGACCGAUAGCGGACAAGUACCGUGAGGGAAAGGUGAAAAGUACCCCUGGCGGGG